CGUCAGCCCUGCACGGAGACGCGGACGCGGUGCCAGGCGGUGCUCAGCACCCCUCGCAGGUUCCAGAUGGGCGCCACGCUGUCGGGCUGCACGUUGUAACUGCUGUCCACCGCUUUGCAAACGAUCUCCAGCUCCGUCCCCGCCUCCACCGGCACCGUCAGCUCCCACAGCGCCCACGCCCACGCGCGGCCCGGCGGAGCUUUAUCCCCCAUCAGCCUCGCCACCUUCCACGUGCGCCCCCCGUCCAGCGACACGUCCACGCGCACCACCUCGCGCCCGCCGCCGCUCCACGCGUAACCCUUCACCGUCAGCUCCCCCGGCGGCACCGCGGCUCCGGGCCGCGGCUGAGUGACGGCCGACUGCACCGGCAGCUCCUGGAUGGCGGGCGCCGUGCGGUAAUCCACCGUGUCCCAAUCCACGCAGGGGGAGAAGCCCUUGUAGUCGUUCUGCUGCCAAUGGCUGGGGCUCUCAUCGGGGCUCACGGCCACGCGGCGCAGCCACUUAACGCUGCGUGCGCCCACCACGCCGGGCACCACCACGCGGACGGGGAAGCCGUGGUCCCGGGGCAGCUCCGUGCCGUUCAUCUCGUAGGCCAGCAGCACGUCGGCGGCGGGGCUGAGAGCGCGGCCGUAAGGGAUGGACGCACCGUACGGAGCGCCCCCGGGGUCGGCGUCCAAACCCUCGAAGCAGACGUGCCACUCGCCCUGGAGCUCCUCGGGGAAGCCGGCGUGCAGCAGGACGUCCCGCAGCCUCGCUCCGCCCCACCGCGCCGUGCUGAUGGCACCGAUGUCCCACGGCAGCCCUUUGACGGGCCGCACGCGGCUCAUCUCGGAGCGGCGGUUCCCGGCGCACUGCAGGGUCGCCGUCACUUCGUGUUUGGGGAAGCGGCUCCGCAGCUCGGCCAGGGACAGCGACAGCGUGCGGCCGCCGGGACCGUCCACCCGCAGCCGCAGCUCCAGGACGUGCGGUUCCCCGUGCACCGCAUACAGCGCCCAGAAGGGCUCCAGGGCCCCCCCCGCCGCCAGCAGGAUCUUGUCGGGCCCCCCCGGGUGCAGCUCCACGAAGUCGGUGACGUCGAACACGUCGGUGCCGUGGGUCACCCAGACGCGUUCUUCGGGGCUCCGGUGCCGCCCCACCUCUUCCCGCGUGUACCGGGGGUACGACGGGGCGGCGGCGGCGUGAGCGGCCUGGGAGGGGGGGGAAGGAUGGGGGCUCGGCUCCGUCAGCGGGGACAGCCCGGACCCACCUCCCCCCCGGUGCCCACCCCCCCCACUCCGCUCCCCACCCGGUGCGCGCUCACCCGUCGCCGCCGUUCUCCGUAGCUCAGCGCCGCGCCGAGGCCGAGCAGCGCCGCCAGCACCGGACCACCCGCCCGCCGCCCCCCCCGGGCCCGGACCGCCGGGGGCGAUGUCCGUCCGGGAGGAGCCGCGGUGUUGGGAGAGCGGCGGGGGGGCAGACGGACUCUGCGGAGAGAGCGGCGCUGAGCGGUGCCCGGGGGCGGAGAGAGG
RNAcentral lists this long non-coding RNA (1508 nucleotides) under Gallus gallus (chicken). The record is from RNAcentral. Lineage: Eukaryota; Metazoa; Chordata; Aves; Galliformes; Phasianidae.